CCGAAGUGGUUCAGGUGUGCAGAAGAGUUAUGGAACAAUGCCCAAGUGAGACUCCAGCCCACUGUCAGAAGGAGCAAGCGGAUCGCCACUGCUCUCCACCAGGAACCUCCUGCUCCGCUUGACCUGUAAGAAGCUGAGUCCCCAGUUUGUGGGGUCCUCCGGAGUGUCAACAAGGACAAAUUUAUUGAACUCACCACUGCAGUUCAUCUGGCAAAGGUUCAGAGACGGAGUGGAGCCGUUGGCACAGAUCACACGGUCGCUCAGCUGAAACAAGCCGUAGAGGGUCCACAUGGUCUCUUCUUCGCUGGUCUCCUCUUCGCUGGAGUCUUCUUUUCUGGAGUCCUCUUUUGAUGGGCUGAACUGAUGACUUUCAGCGCUGGAUGAAUCUCCGUGAGAAUCCCCAGCGUGUCUCUUACCCCUCCUAGUAGUGUGCUCAGGGUUGAAUUUGAAGGCCGCCUCCUCCAAUAAGCUCUUCAGCUCACAUUUUGAGAGGAUCCGUCCCUCAGACAGACUGGGAACCAUCAAGACUGCUACAGCCAACACCAGCAGCAUCUGCAUCUUCAUGUUGUCUCUGUCUGGUCUUUCCUCAAUUGUGAGGGGGAAGACGAGAGUUGCACAGUAGAUAUACUCUUGGCGCCCUAGCCCCUUGAGAGUGACCUUUGACUAAGACUCGUUCUUGUCUCCUUUUUUUAAAAUCCAAGGUAAGGCAAUACAUCUGGCUCUCUGAAAUGGGUCAAAGGACUACCUAAAUGUACCAAAGAUCCACCCAGUGUUGUGUUUCACCAUUCGAUUCAGGCCUCUAGGAAAAUGUGUUACAAAC
Molecule: long non-coding RNA, 820 nt
Organism: Oncorhynchus tshawytscha (Chinook salmon)
Lineage: Eukaryota; Metazoa; Chordata; Actinopteri; Salmoniformes; Salmonidae
Source: Ensembl